RNAcentral lists this non-coding RNA (100 nucleotides) under Mucilaginibacter oryzae. Lineage: Bacteria; Pseudomonadati; Bacteroidota; Sphingobacteriia; Sphingobacteriales; Sphingobacteriaceae. The record is from RNAcentral.
AACUGCCGUAUGCCGAACGGCACGUACGGUGUUGUGAGACGACAGUAAGGGAAAUAAAUAAUAGUAACUGUCAGAUUAAAUUUUGACUAUCUAACUUUAU